UGAUGAGAAAACCUUUCGAAAAAACAGUUAUCCCUGUCUGAAUGGGCAUAAUAUCUGGUUGCACAUGUGUCGAGA
This is a small nuclear RNA of Eremothecium gossypii ATCC 10895, 75 nucleotides long. NCBI's taxonomy places the organism in Eukaryota, Fungi, Ascomycota, Saccharomycetes, Saccharomycetales, Saccharomycetaceae. The record is from RefSeq.